CUUCCGGUAAGUCGUAUUUGUUGAUGCAUACGCCAUUCGGUUCAAAACAUAAGACAUACAAUCGUAGUUUCAGUUUUACCUUAAAAUGUAACAGUUGCUUUUCUGUAAUAAUAAUAAUCCUCUAUACUACGUAUGCGGUCGCCAAAUACGACUUCCGAAAGACGCACCCCAAAUCCUGGCCAGGACGCGUCCAGGAAGAAUGGCACGUAUGGUCACCCUAGUCAAUGGUGUUUCUGUAUCUAAACUGGUAAAGCAUUGGUUGUGGGUUCGAUUUCCAGAGAAAAUAAAAUGUACUGUAUACACCGCAAGUCACUUUGGAUAAAAGCGUCUGGCAAAUGCAUGACUGUAAGAUGAUCUUCAUCAUGCUUCAUUGCAUUUAGUUAAAAAACGGAAAUGGACACUGUUACACAUUUUCACGAGCUAUGUAACAUUAACAGAGAAAAAUAUACAAAUACAGAGUGAGCCUACAUGAUCAUGUCCCUAAAAGGGCAAAAUCAUUCAUUUGCCAGUUAAAAGAGACACGGGUACAAGAGUAAACAUGCCAGCUUUGGUUUAUGAACUUUAUAUGUGAGCAGAGAUUAACUAUUAAUCACACGAUUUAAAUAGUGUGUCGUUCCUGUCUGUUAAACUUAGCAGCGUGCAGAUGCAUAUCUGCUAAAAAGACAGUGUUUUUAAAACAUUCAGAUGUACAUUAACAUGAUGCCACCCCAUGUGAGGAACCGGCAAAAUUCCUGGAGCAGAUCAGUUAAAGAUCAAGAUCUACAACUUAUCGUAUAAACAAUAAGUAAUGCAUAUAGGGUCAUAUCUCAAACAGUAUUGCAUAGUAACAUGACAGGGAUUUUCUGACCCUUCUCUACAAAAAGAGUUUACAGUUAUAUCAUGUGAAUCUGGAAAAACAUUAAUCGUUUACAGGAAAACAGGGUACUUCCCUUAAAGAGAAAGUGAUAGUAAACCCAAUGUUUCUUUUAGUUGAAUGCAGUCAUUGUAGCUUUCGCCCACGUAAUCCAGCAAUGCAUUUUACCGUUUUGUGAAAGACAGACUUGGAUCAUUUCUGGUAAAAAGGCUUUAUAGGUAACAAAACAAAUAACGUCCUAAUGUCUGUAUAACAAAGUCCAGAUGCACUGUAUGAACAAGACUGUAUGCAAUGUAUAACAUGGGUGGACAACACUGAGAAGAUUUGUUAUAAACAACCCAACUAAUCUGGGCAAGUGGCGUCACAGUUACGACAGAUUGUUUGGGAUAAGCUGCUGUCCGCAAUUCGUUUGUCACAGGCUGACGCCUCCGCACACCCCCAGAUAAGAUGGGAUAACUAUAUACAGUUGACAUCCAAGGAUCUGAGAUCUAAAAUUGAACGGGCGGAAACAUCUCAGUCCAGGAAGAGCGUGAGACGUUAUAAUGGAUGUCUUAAUUUAUCCGAAACUGACAACACAACACUAACAUUUAAAAGAAGUGUGAACAGCUCUUCACAGGGACAUUUCAAGGCCUGUUUGUGCUAUUUAAUGGAUACAGUAGUAAUUCAGGUCACUGUUCAAUGCAUUGUAAGAGUUUCCUAAAUGGUGUGGUCACAUCGUGAAAUAAUUUUUUCACAUUUUCCUUUAAUGUUUAUGGUAGUGUAGUCUAGGGAACGGUUUCCAUGGUAAUACACAGUUAGUGUAUACAGAGACGGGGGGAAGUGAUGGCAGGAAGUGGCUGACCGUGAUGACGCACUUAGUGCUCUCUUUCAAGGGGAUGGGCAUGUAAAUGUGAAACGUUUGUGCCAUGUGCUUUUUUAGUGUCAUGAAAAAUUCUGCUGGUGCAUAGUGCAACCGUUAAAAUGUGUAAACUAUGAAUGAAACCGUGCGCAUGCUUUCUUUUCCUAAACAUUUCUUUUUCCUAAACUGUAUGGAUUAGAUUUUGAUGGAUGGGUGCACUUUUUGGGUUACUAUCCAGUGCCAAUAUAAAGCUUAAAAAAAUGAUAUAACUUAAUAUAACUCAAUUGUGUUUGGUUGAAAGCAGUACAGUGUACUUCAUACACAUUUCAGUGCCAAUGAGGGCACUCGAAUUAAAGGUAUUUCCCCUUUUGUCAAUAUUUUCUAAAAGUCGUCUCCGCCCACUGUCAAAACCACACGUUUAGGCGCUUUGCAUCAGCCUUUACUACUGCAGUCAUCGACUACUAUGGCAACACGAGUCACAGAAAGAUUAUUGGCGGCCCAAGAUGUCAUACCACCGUUCCCCACGCCCACAUUACCACCGAAGAGUAAAAUUAACACAUUAUGUCAUGCUUUUCUAUGAGAUAUUUGAGAGAUUGCCGCCUAAUGUGUUUGCAGUGGGAUGCUGGUACAGCAAAUUCAUUCAUUUUCCUUCACUGCAGCCAGUCACAAUGGGCCUUUUAAUGGUCUUCCUGGGCAGGGCUUCCAGAGAGCUGGCAAAACAAACAGUCCAAGAAAAGAGAUUUACGCUGGAGACGAUAACUCACGUCAUCGUUUACUUUGGGGGACAUAUGGCAAGGAAGACAUUGCAUUUUAGUUCAGAGACCAAGUCUUGGCAAAUAAAAGGGAACCAUUUGAGUUAUCUUUGGCCCGCCUUCACGCCAGAUGCAAGUUCGGAGUACGGUCACUGGCAAGACUGUACUGUAACAACUGCCAAUGUCAUUAUGCAAACUGAACUUAAUAUGCAUUAUUAUUGAAACAGUUAUAAAAGCAAUAUUGCUUGGAUAUGGGUGUGAUAUGGCUUUAUAUAAGCAUGGCCGUGAUUGUAUACACUGCGUUUAAACAACAGUUCGAGAACACAACAGUUAGACGGUGUGCAGAUAAAUAAAAAACAACUGUGUGAGUGUCUUCUUUCAUCAAAGAAAGAACUGUUCACUGUAAAAAAGUAGUUUCAACUUAAAAAAGUAAGUUCCUAUAACUAUAAGUCGCUCCAGAGUAUAAGUCGCAUCAGUCAAAAAUGCGUUUUGAAGAGGAAAAAAACAUGUAUAAGUCGCACUGGACUAUACAUCACGUUUAUUUAAUGAUUUCACAAAAUCCAAACCGAAGAACAGACAUUUAUUUCGGAAAGGCAAGUUAUUCAACUAAACAAUAGCACAGAACAGCAGGCUGAAUAGGUGUCCGUACAUGUUAAGUGACAUAAACAGUUAUUUACACAAUACACAA
This is a non-coding RNA of Misgurnus anguillicaudatus (oriental weatherfish), 3131 nucleotides long. The record is from RefSeq and is a predicted model, not a curated record. Lineage: Eukaryota; Metazoa; Chordata; Actinopteri; Cypriniformes; Cobitidae.